RNAcentral lists this ribosomal RNA (514 nucleotides) under Callistethus parapulcher. Its description in RNAcentral is "partial 16S ribosomal RNA". It matches the Rfam family "Bacterial large subunit ribosomal RNA", at positions 1819 to 2600 of the family's 2925-position model. The record is from RNAcentral. Lineage: Eukaryota; Metazoa; Arthropoda; Insecta; Coleoptera; Scarabaeidae.
GUCUUUUUGAUUAUAAUUUAAAGUCUGACCUGCCCAAUGAGUUUUUGAAUGGCCGCGGUAAUUUGACCGUGCAAAGGUAGCAUAAUCAUUAGUUUUUUAAUUGAAAGCUGGAAUGAAUGGUUGGACGAGAAAAUAACUGUCUCAAUUUAAUUGUAUAUAGAAUUUUAUUUAUAAGUAAAAAAGCUUAUAUGAUUUUAAAAGACGAGAAGACCCUAUAGAGUUUUAUAUUUUAUUUUAUUAAUUAAGUUUAGAAUGUUUAUGUUUUUAAUACAAUAAAAUAUUUUGCUGGGGCAGCAGAAAAAUUAAAUGAACUUUUUUUAUUAUUAUUACAUUGAUUUAUGGUUUAAUGAUCCAUUUUUUAUGAUUAUAAGAUUAAAUUACCUUAGGGAUAACAGCGUAAUUUUUUUUUAGAGUUCUUAUCGAAAAAAGAGUUUGCGACCUCGAUGUUGGAUUAAAAUUAACUUUUGGUGUAGGGGCUAAAAGGUUAGGUCUGUUCGACCUUUAAAAUUUUACA